This 903-nucleotide ribosomal RNA is filed under the name uncultured bacterium. Its description in RNAcentral is "bacterial SSU rRNA". It matches the Rfam family "Bacterial small subunit ribosomal RNA", at positions 33 to 917 of the family's 1533-position model. The record is from RNAcentral.
ACGCUGGCGGCGUGCCUAAUACAUGCAAGUCGAACGAGAGCGACCGGUGCUUGCACUGGUCAAUCUAGUGGCGAACGGGUGAGUAACACGUGGGUAACCUGCCCAUCAGAGGGGGAUAACAUUCGGAAACGGAUGCUAAAACCGCAUAGGUCUUCGAACCGCAUGGUUUGAAGAGGAAAAGAGGCGCAAGCUUCUGCUGAUGGAUGGACCCGCGGUGCAUUAGCUAGUUGGUGAGGUACGGCUCACCAAGGCCGUGAUGCAUAGCCGACCUGAGAGGGUGAUCGGCCACAUUGGGACUGAGACACGGCCCAAACUCCUACGGGAGGCAGCAGUAGGGAAUCUUCCGCAAUGGACGCAAGUCUGACGGAGCAACGCCGCGUGAGUGAAGAAGGUUUUCGGAUCGUAAAACUCUGUUGUUAGAGAAGAACAAGUGCUAGAGUAACUGUUAGCGCCUUGACGGUAUCUAACCAGAAAGCCACGGCUAACUACGUGCCAGCAGCCGCGGUAAUACGUAGGUGGCAAGCGUUGUCCGGGUUUAUUGGGCGUAAAGCGAGCGCAGGCGGUUUCUUAAGUCUGAUGUGAAAGCCCCCGGCUCAACCGGGGAGGGUCAUUGGAAACUGGGGAACUUGAGUGCAGAAGAGGAGAGUGGAAUUCCAUGUGUAGCGGUGAAAUGCGUAGAUAUAUGGAGGAACACCAGUGGCGAAGGCGACUCUCUGGUCUGUAACUGACGCUGAGGCUCGAAAGCGUGGGUAGCAAACAGGAUUAGAUACCCUGGUAGUCCACGCCGUAAACGAUGAGUGCUAAGUGUUGGAGGGUUUCCGCCCUUCAGUGCUGCAGUUAACGCAUUAAGCACUCCGCCUGGGGAGUACGACCGCAAGGUUGAAACUCAAAGGAAUUGACGGG